Molecule: ribosomal RNA, 484 nt
Filed under: uncultured bacterium
Lineage: Bacteria
Description: partial 16S ribosomal RNA
Rfam family: Bacterial small subunit ribosomal RNA
Source: RNAcentral
AUUGAACGCUGGCGGCAGGCCUAACACAUGCAAGUCGAGCGGAAGAAGCCAGCUUGCUCCUGGUUUCAGCGUCGGACGGGUGAGUAAUACCUAGGAAUCUGCCUGCCAGUGGUUGGUAACGUCCGCAAACGGGUGCUACUACCGCAUACGCCCUGAGGCAGCAAGAGGGGGAUCUUCGGACCUCUCGCUAUCUGAUGAGCCUAGGUCGGAUUGGCUAGUUGGUGGGGUAAAGGCCUACCAAGGCGACGAUCCGUAACUGGUCUGAGAGGGUGAUCGGUCACACUGGAACUGAGCCGCGGUCCAGACUACUACGAGAGGCAGCAGUCUGGAAUAUGCGACAACGGUCGAGAGCCUGAUCCAGCCGUGCCACGUGUGUAAAGGAAAAGUUGGGGUUGGAAAGAAGUUUAAGAUGGGAGGAAGGGCAGUAGGUUGAGACGUUGCUAGAGUGACGUUACCAAGAAAAUAAGCACCGGCUAACUUCGUG